UACGAAGGGGGCUAGCGUUGUUCGGAAUUACUGGGCGUAAAGCGCGCGCAGGCGGCUAUCCAAGUCAGUGGUGAAAGCCCGGAGCUCAACUCCGGAACUGCCAUUGAAACUGUUUAGCCUGAGGAUGAGAGAGGUGAGUGGAAUUCCCAGUGUAGAGGUGAAAUUCGUAGAUAUUGGGAAGAACACCGGUGGCGAAGGCGGCUCACUGGCUCAUUACUGACGCUCAGGCGCGAUAGCGUGGGGAUCAAACAGG
Molecule: ribosomal RNA, 253 nt
Filed under: uncultured bacterium
Lineage: Bacteria
Description: partial 16S ribosomal RNA
Rfam family: Bacterial small subunit ribosomal RNA
Source: RNAcentral